UCGAUAAAUAAACACCAUGUCUAGUACAAAUGAUUAAUGGGUAUUGUGUGUGUAUGUUGUAAAUCUUGAAGUAUGAGUUCAAUUUUUACAACUAUUUUCAUGAUGUUUCCCUUAAUCUUCUUUCUAAUCUCCCCUGUCUAAUUAACUACGCUAUUUUUAACAUAAAGCACAUUGGAGUAAAACUGAAAAUAACACAAUUACAAUUUGAACUUGUUUUAUACAAUUUAGGAGGCAGAGAAAAGGUAAAACUAAAACAAAUUCUGAAAAGUUUGAACACUAUACACAUCCAAUCAUUCAUGACCAGUAACCACUACAUUGAUUAUGGUUGAUCUGGAAGAUGACUCAGUCUAAACUAGAACUACUUAAAAGACAUUCUACAAACUCUAAAGUAAAGUGCUAAUUUCAGCUUCAAAGAAGAAAGCAGUGCUGAUUAAAUUAGCUAACCUCCCUAUAAUUACGCACCAAACCUUCAGGUUCCAGUGGUGCUAUAGUUACAAUUGUUUCGGGCACCGGAAACAACAUAGGUUGUGGUUGGGAUGAACUACCUUGUGACCCAACAAUUUUGUUACAAGUUUCAAUAAGGCACUGUCUACAUUUCGGACAAGACGAAUGCGAACUUAGCCAUUUGUCAAUGCAACGAACAUGAAAUCCAUGGUUACACUUUGGCAAAAGGCGCACUUUAUCGCCGUUAGUGAACUCCGACAGACAUAUCACACACUCCGAGUCCAAACUCGGCAAUUUCAGCUCAUCUGAGUAACUAACUGUGGUGAAUUUCUUGAGAGCUUUCUUCUUGAUUCCAGUGUUUGCCGCUCGAACUGGAAUGUUGUUAGCGGAGCGAUCACCACUCAUCACAACUAAAUUGGAACAUUUUAAUGCACACCUUAUGAUUGAGUUCAAACAAAGUGAACAAAUAAGAGCACAUAAUAGGACAGAGAGUACCAUAACAACAUUUGCAUCAAAAUUACCAUCUCCAGCAUAUGAUGAUUCUUUAGUUGAAUCAUGGAUGCUUGUGGAAAUUGGAGGGUUGGCUGAAUUGGAUGAGUGAAGGAGUAACCUUCUUGAGUGGAAAUUCUCAACAAGUUCAUGGAGGAGUGGUGAAACAAAGGAAGUAGUAGCAUACAUGUUUUUGUUUAAGGUGUUAAUGUUUUUGAGCUUAAUUUUGAUUUUUGAGGUUGGUUGCACUAAGGGGAUUUGUAUAUUUAUAAGGUGGUUGGAUUUGUUGUCUUUCUCUUAUUGUGGCAUGAAAUUACAAUUAUCAAUUAUUAUAUAAUAAUAAUAAUGUGCUAAAUAGUGUAGCUAUAGGUAGCUUUGUAAUCAGAAUAUUCCUAGAAGGUUAUGGUUAGAUAUAGGGUAUUUUUCUGUCUUUAAUGUUGUUACCCCUUGGAGAUAGAUGUCUUCAUUUACAAGUAUAUGGAUACUCCACUAAUUUAACCUUUUGUAAAUUGCCUUUCAAAUCAAGAUGGGUCCAUUAUUAAAUUUCAAUCCCAC
Molecule: long non-coding RNA, 1488 nt
Filed under: Medicago truncatula (barrel medic)
Lineage: Eukaryota; Viridiplantae; Streptophyta; Magnoliopsida; Fabales; Fabaceae
Description: lncRNA gene18418
Source: RNAcentral